GCCAGGCGUUGUGGCGGGUGCCUGUAGUCCCAGCUACUUGGGAGGCUGAGGCAGGAGACUCACUUGAGCCCAGGAGUUGGAGGUUGCUGUGAGCGUGAUACCAUGGCACUCUACCCAGGGGGAUAGCUUGAGGCUCCGUCUCAAAAAAAAAAAAUAGAGAGAGAAGAGCCUUUACUUUUUUUUCCUUCACCACAAUUCUAUACUUUUUUUUUUUUUUUUGAGACCGAGCCUCAAGCUAUCCCCUUUGGUAGAGUGCCAUGGCAUCACGCUCACAGCAACCUCCAACUCCUGGGCUCAAGUGAGUCUCCUGCCUCAG
Non-coding RNA from Otolemur garnettii (small-eared galago), 316 nucleotides. The record is from Rfam. NCBI's taxonomy places the organism in Eukaryota, Metazoa, Chordata, Mammalia, Primates, Galagidae.